GACGAACGCUGGCGGCGUGCUUAACACAUGCAAGUCGAACGGAAAGGCCCUGCUUUUGUGGGGUGCUCGAGUGGCGAACGGGUGAGUAACACGUGAGUAACCUGCCCUUGACUUUGGGAUAACUUCAGGAAACUGGGGCUAAUACCGGAUAGGAGCUCCUGCUGCAUGGUGGGGGUUGGAAAGUUUCGGCGGUUGGGGAUGGACUCGCGGCUUAUCAGCUUGUUGGUGGGGUGGUGGCUUACCAAGGCUUUGACGGGUAGCCGGCCUGAGAGGGUGACCGGCCACAUUGGGACUGAGAUACGGCCCAGACUCCUACGGGAGGCAGCAGUGGGGAAUAUUGCACAAUGGGCGGAAGCCUGAUGCAGCAACGCCGCGUGCGGGAUGACGGCCUUCGGGUUGUAAACCGCUUUCGCUUGUGACGAAGCGUGAGUGACGGUAAUGGGUAAAGAAGCACCGGCUAACUACGUG
Molecule: ribosomal RNA, 468 nt
Filed under: uncultured bacterium
Lineage: Bacteria
Description: partial 16S ribosomal RNA
Rfam family: Bacterial small subunit ribosomal RNA
Source: RNAcentral